AUUUUGUUUAUGGCCAGUUUUGGGGCCAGUUUAUGGCCAGAUUUUGGGGGGCCUGUUCCCAACAGUGACAGAGUGGGAGAAUGUGAUUAGUGAGUAGUUCUUUCCACCAACUUGAAGAGUCCCAUCAAUGUCCUGCUCUGAGGGAUGGAGGAAGGUGGGAAGAGUCUGUGAAAAAAGAACAGCAGGAAUUCAGGGUGAAGAAGAUGUGGACUGUGUCUCCAGCAAUUACACACCAUCACUUCUUGAAGAAAUUAUUGUGCAUUAUUUCAGAAAAUGGACUACUUGCACACUUAAGCCCAAUCUAAUUAAUUCAAUUUAUUAAAAUUGUUUAUUCAUCUUAAAUCUAAUUGAGCCUACUAUAACCAUAAUUGAGCUCAUUCAUAUAGUAUUAUCUUUGAUGUCAGUGUAAUUCAUCUUUUCCCCCAUUGGUACUAGUAAAAAAAUGUUGGACAAUAUAUAAUUUAAAAACACUAAUGUUACCAAAGAUAGAUUACGUGUAACCAUUCUAAUCUGCCUCUGCCUGGCUCUGAAAAGUAAUCCACAAUUGGAUUUUGUAUUUUAUGUGAGUGUUUAAAAUUUCUUUUUGACAUUUUAUGAUUUACCUUUUAUUUUUUUCUACUGGAAACAUCAAAAAAUUGGAACUGAUUAAAACAAUAUAUAUUUUUGAAAAAUAAGACAAUGGGGUAAAGAUGGGGACUUUCAGGAGUGAUUCCUAUUUCCUUGUAUUAUGGAAACGUGUAUAGAAACUUUCCUUAUUCAGCAUAAGGAACUCAGUUAUUACCAAGAAUGAUAACUCUACCUUGACUUUUCCUUUUUUUCUGAAUUUCAAAACACUGCCUUGCUCAAACCCAUUUGUAUCCAGUGUUGUUGUUACAAACUCACUCCUAGAGAUGGGUAUGAAAGAGAUGCCCUAACAUUCCUGAAUCUUAGGAAGUCUUAGACUUCUGCAACAAUUCAUUCUGG
Molecule: long non-coding RNA, 963 nt
Filed under: Pan troglodytes (chimpanzee)
Lineage: Eukaryota; Metazoa; Chordata; Mammalia; Primates; Hominidae
Description: lncRNA (ENSPTRG00000053666.1)
Source: RNAcentral